CUUUAUUAGCCAAAAUCACUGUGAAAACACCCUCCUCCCUGAUUAUUUAGCCAGACCUCAAUUAAACAAAAAAUAAUAAUUAUCUUCACAGGGUAUCAAGGUCUGAUAAGAUGUGGGUGACACGAGGCUAAUUUGUUCGAGGCUCUCUUCCAAAAGGUAUAUUGGAUCCUGAAUCCCUGAUUCGCAGAAGCCCCUGGCGACACUGGGUUUCAUCUCUCGCAAGAACCCCUUCUACCUCUUGUUGGCUCUCUUUAAAGGGUUUUCUUUUUCUGGUAACAUGUGUCGGUAUCAAGCGUGGGAAGAUGAUUCGCUACAGGGCGAAAAUUAUAUACAAAGUACCCAGGAUGGCAUAGAUGUUACAGGGAUAAGGUGGGCAGCGAGACUUGCUAAUUUGGAAGAGCGGAUGACUCGAGUGGAGGCUAGGGUCGAGAGACUCGAGGCAAGGAUGUCAUAUUUGCAAAAAGGAAUGCGUGUCGUUUGCAUGCUGUUUCUGGUCACUCUUGUGUAUGCAUUCUGGAAGUAGAUGUUUAAGGAAUGAUUUGCUGAUCAGUCUGCUGAAUGCUCAUUUCUAUUAGAAUUCUGUUAGAUUCUUUGAAUUGCAGAAGCAAGUGUAGGCUCUGACAUAUGGAAUAUGCAUCUUUUAUGUGACGCUCUAGAACA
Molecule: long non-coding RNA, 660 nt
Organism: Argentina anserina (silverweed cinquefoil)
Lineage: Eukaryota; Viridiplantae; Streptophyta; Magnoliopsida; Rosales; Rosaceae
Exons: 2
Source: RefSeq, a predicted model, not a curated record